Molecule: ribosomal RNA, 253 nt
Filed under: uncultured bacterium
Lineage: Bacteria
Description: partial 16S ribosomal RNA
Rfam family: Bacterial small subunit ribosomal RNA
Source: RNAcentral
GACGAACCGUGCGAACGUUGUUCGGAUUCACUGGGCUUAAAGGGCGCGUAGGCGGACUCGCCAGUCUGUGGUGAAAGCCCCCAGCUCAACUGGGGAAGUGCCGUGGAUACUGCGAGUCUGGAGGAGGGUAGGGGCGUCUGGAACGCUGGGUGGAGCGGUGAAAUGCGUUGAUAUCCAGCGGAACUCCGGUGGCGAAGGCGAGGCGCUGGACCCUUUCUGACGCUGAGGCGCGAAAGCCAGGGGAGCAAACGGG